Molecule: ribosomal RNA, 496 nt
Filed under: uncultured bacterium
Lineage: Bacteria
Description: partial 16S ribosomal RNA
Rfam family: Bacterial small subunit ribosomal RNA
Source: RNAcentral
AUGCACGCUGGCGGCGUGCCUAAUACAUGCAAGUCGAGCGAACGGACGAGAAGCUUGCUUCUCUGAUGUUAGCGGCGGACGGGUGAGUAACACGUGGAUAACCUACCUAUAAGACUGGGAUAACUUCGGGAAACCGGAGCUAAUACCGGAUAAUAUUUUGAACCGCAUGGUUCAAAAGUGAAAGACGGUCUUGCUGUCACUUAUAGAUGGAUCCGCGCUGCAUUAGCUAGUUGGUAAGGUAACGGCUUACCAAGGCAACGAUGCAUAGCCGACCUGAGAGGGUGAUCGGCCACACUGGAACUGAGACACGGUCCAGACUCCUACGGGAGGUAGCAGUAGGGAAUCUUCCGCAAUGGGCGAAAGCCUGACGGAGCAACGCCGCGUGAGUGAUGAAGGUCUUCGGAUCGUAAAACUCUGUUAUUAGGGAAGAACAUAUGUGUAAGUAACUGUGCACAUCUUGACGGUACCUAAUCAGAAAGCCACGGCUAACUACGUG